CCUAGUGAUGGCCGCCAAACGCCACCCAGUACGAAACAAAACAACAUUCCUUAUUCCAACAAACAAACAAACCUUCUUUCUUUCCGUUUUUGAUCAUAGAAGAAUACGAAGAAGAGGGUUUGAAGAAUAGAAUAACAGAAACAAUGGGCACUCUCGAGUCAUGGAGAAGAGCCUACGGCGCUCUCAAAGACUCCACCAAAGUCGGUCUCGCUCAUGUCAACAGCGAUUACGCGGACUUGGACGUUGCCGUAGUCAAAGCCACCAACCACGUCGAGUGUCCUCCCAAAGAGAGACACCUUAGAAAAAUUUUGUUGGGAACUUCUGCGUCGCGGCCUCGAG
Molecule: non-coding RNA, 339 nt
Organism: Cajanus cajan (pigeon pea)
Lineage: Eukaryota; Viridiplantae; Streptophyta; Magnoliopsida; Fabales; Fabaceae
Source: RefSeq, a predicted model, not a curated record